GACGAACGCUGGCGGCGUGCUUAACACAUGCAAGUCGAAGAUCGUGGCGAACGGGUGAGUAAUACGUAGUAACCUGCCCUCCUUUUGGGGAUAAGCCUUGGAAACCGGGUCUAAUACCGAAUAAAGGGGGAUGGGCUCGCGGCCUAUUAGCUAGUUGGUGGGGUAAGGGCCUACCAAGGCGACGAUCCGUAACUGGUCUGAGAGGAUGACCAGCCACACUGGAACUGAGACACGGUCCAGACUCCUACGGGAGGCAGCAGUGGGGAAUAUUGGACAAUGGGCGAAAGCCUGAUCCAGCCAUGCCGCGUGUGUGAAGAAGGUCUUCGGAUUGUAAAGCACUUUAAGUUGGGAGGCGUUACCAACAGAAUAAGCACCGGCUAACUUCGUGCCAGCAGCCGCGGUAAUAC
Molecule: ribosomal RNA, 407 nt
Filed under: uncultured bacterium
Lineage: Bacteria
Description: partial 16S ribosomal RNA
Rfam family: Bacterial small subunit ribosomal RNA
Source: RNAcentral